This 464-nucleotide ribosomal RNA is filed under the name uncultured organism. RNAcentral's name for it is "bacterial SSU rRNA". It matches the Rfam family "Bacterial small subunit ribosomal RNA", at positions 28 to 507 of the family's 1533-position model. The record is from RNAcentral.
GACGAACGCUGGCGGCGUGCUUAACACAUGCAAGUCGAACGGAUCUUACUGACUUCGGUUGGUUUGGUUAGUGGCGAACGGGUGAGUAACACGUGAGUAACCUGCCCUUCACUUUGGGAUAACUGUGGGAAACUUCAGCUAAUACCGGAUAUUCAUUUUCUCCUGCAUGGGGGUUUGUGGAAAGAUUUUUUGGUGGGGGAUGGGCUCGCGGCCUAUCAGCUUGUUGGUGGGGUGAUGGCCUACCAAGGCUUUGACGGGUAGCCGGCCUGAGAGGGCGACCGGCCACACUGGGACUGAGAUACGGCCCAGACUCCUACGGGAGGCAGCAGUGGGGAAUAUUGCACAAUGGACGGAAGUCUGAUGCAGCAACGCCGCGUGCGGGAUGACGGCCUUCGGGUUGUAAACCGCUUUCACUAGGGGCGAAUUUGACGGUACCUGGGGAAGAAGCACCGGCUAACUACGUG